RNAcentral lists this transfer RNA (74 nucleotides) under Desulfobulbales bacterium. RNAcentral's name for it is "tRNA-Gln". It matches the Rfam family "tRNA". From Rfam's summary of the family: Transfer RNA (tRNA) molecules are approximately 80 nucleotides in length. The record is from RNAcentral. Lineage: Bacteria; Pseudomonadati; Thermodesulfobacteriota; Desulfobulbia; Desulfobulbales. RNAcentral also lists the same sequence under 1 other name.
UGGGGCAUGGUGUAAUGGUAACACACGAGCCUUUGACGCUCGUUUUCCAGGUUCGAGCCCUGGUGCCCCAGCCA